GGACUGGGGUUCAGUGGUAGAGUGCUCAUCUAGUGUGUGUGAGGCCCUGGGUUCAAUCCUCAGCACCA
Molecule: transfer RNA, 68 nt
Filed under: Marmota monax (woodchuck)
Lineage: Eukaryota; Metazoa; Chordata; Mammalia; Rodentia; Sciuridae
Description: tRNA.Thr
Source: RNAcentral